This 72-nucleotide transfer RNA is filed under the name Bos taurus (domestic cattle). It matches the Rfam family "tRNA". Rfam says of the family: Transfer RNA (tRNA) molecules are approximately 80 nucleotides in length. Lineage: Eukaryota; Metazoa; Chordata; Mammalia; Artiodactyla; Bovidae. The record is from Rfam by way of RNAcentral. RNAcentral also lists the same sequence under 4 other names.
UCCCUUGUAGCUCAGUCGGUAAAGAAUCUGCCUGCAAUGCAGGAGACCUGGGUUUGAUUCCUUGGUUGGGAA